CUGACUCGGCGAAAAUAUCUUCGAUAUAGUAGAGCGGCGGACGUAGUAACGCUAGAAUCUACCUAGAGGGGACGGGGAACCAUUAAUACCGUAUACCUCCUCGGGAAAAGAAGCUCUCUUUGAGCUUUCGCUAUAAUGAGCCUGCGUAAAUUAGCUUGUUGGUGAGGAAGGUCCCAAGGACAUUUUGCUGGUCUGAGAGGACAUCACCACAUUGGGACUGAACCGGCCCAACUCCUACGGGAGGCACAGGGGAAUAUUGGACAAUGGGCGCAAGCCUGAUCCAGCCAUACCGCGGUGUAAAAGGCCUUCGGGUUGUAAGCAUUUACGGGAAAAAAGUUAUAAUUAAUACCUUUAGCCGGAUGUACCUGCAAAUAACACCGGUAAUUCCGUGCCAGCAGCCGCGGUAAUACGGAAGGUGCAAGCGUUAAUCGGAAUUACUGGGCGUAAAGCGCGCGUAGGUGGUUUGUUAAUUGGAUGGAAAGCCCUGGGCUCACCUAGGAACUGAUCCAAAACUAACUCACUAGAGUACGAUAGAGGGAGGUAGAAUUCAUAGUGUAGCGGUGGAAUGCUAGAUAUUAUGAAAAUACCAGUGGAAGCGCUCCUGGAUCUGUACUGACUGGGGUGCGAAAGCGUGGGUAGCGAACAGGAUUAAUCCCUGGUAUCCACGCCUAAACGAUGACAACUAGCUGUUGGGAGACAUGUCUUUCAGUGGCCAGCUAACGUUUAAGUUGCCGCUGGGGAGACGGCCGAGGCUAAAACUCAAAUGAAUUACGGGACCCGCACAGGUGGAGCAUGUGGUUUAAUUCGAUGCCGCGAAAACCUACCUACUCUUGAAUACUGGAAUCUUGUAAUGAAGUGCUUUUACCAAUACAGGGUCUGCGGCGUCAUCACCUCGUGUCGGAGGGUUCCCGUUAGUCGAACACCCCCCUCCCUUAUUUGCCAGGAUUCGGCGGCUGAGGGAACUGCCUGGAUACCGAGAGGUGAAUAAUCUUGCUUUGUAG
Molecule: ribosomal RNA, 1001 nt
Filed under: uncultured Gammaproteobacteria bacterium
Lineage: Bacteria; Pseudomonadati; Pseudomonadota; Gammaproteobacteria
Description: bacterial SSU rRNA
Rfam family: Bacterial small subunit ribosomal RNA
Source: RNAcentral